This is a non-coding RNA of Cherax quadricarinatus, 344 nucleotides long. Lineage: Eukaryota; Metazoa; Arthropoda; Malacostraca; Decapoda; Parastacidae. The record is from RefSeq and is a predicted model, not a curated record.
CAGGCAAAUGAGGUUGAGAGAGCUGGCCAUCUCGUUCAGCUUCUGCGUUGUGUCGAUUUCCACUCGUUGACAUCAGCAGACAUAUCCAACAUGCUCUUCUACAGCAUCGUUGCAGUAUAUACAUCAUAGGUGGUGAGUAUCACCUGGGUCAUGGCAACUGGAACAAGAGUUUAUGGAGAUACAGUACAGCAUCUAGGAAAUGGAUCAGUGAAAACAUGUUGCCGCAACCUCGACGACAUUUUAUGGUGUGUGUCAUAGACUCUGUCAUCUACAUACUUGGUGGAUUUGGACGACAUCGUGUUGUACAGUGUUCUGUAGAUGCAUAUGAUACUAAAGCAGGUAAA